ACGGCUCAGUAACACGUGGCUAAUCUGCCCUUGGGACUAGAACAACCCCGGGAAACUGGGGCUAACUCUAGAUAGGUGAAGAACUCUGGAAUGAGUCUUUGCCUAAAUAGGUUCACGUUAUCCUCGUGAACUUGCCCAAGGAUGAGGCCGCGACCGAUCAGGUUGUUGGCGAGGUAAUGGCUCACCAAGCCUUUUACCGGUGCGGGCCGUGGGAGCGGGAGCCCGGAGAUGGGUACUGAGACAAGGACCCAGGCCCUACGGGGCGCAGCAGUCGCGAAACCUUUGCAAUACACGAAAGUGUGACAGGGCUAUCCCGAGUGCCAUCCGCUGAGGAAGGCUUUUACCCAGUCUAGAAAGCUGGGGGAAUAAGGAGAGGGCAAGUCUGGUGUCAGCCGCCGCGGUAAUACCAGCUCUCCGAGUGGUGUGGAUGUUUAUUGGGCCUAAAGCAUCCGUAGCUGGCUAGGUAAGUCCCUUGUUAAAUCCACCGAAUUAAUCGUUGGAUCGCGGGGGAUACUGCUUGGCUAGGGGACGAGAGAGGCAGACGGUAUUUUCGGGGUAGGGGUGAAAUCCUAUAAUCCCGGGAAGACCACCAGUGGCGAAGGCUGUCUGCUAGAACGCGCCCGACGGUGAGGGAUGAAAGCUGGGGGAGCGAACCGGAUUAGAUACCCGGGUAGUCCCAGCUGUAAACGAUGCAGACUAGGUGUUUGGACGGCCACGUGCCGUUCUAGUGCCGCAGGGAAGCUGUUAAGUCUGCCGCCUGGGGAGUACGAUCGCAAGAUUGAAACUUAAAGGAAUUGGCGGGGGAGCAC
Molecule: ribosomal RNA, 809 nt
Filed under: uncultured archaeon
Lineage: Archaea
Description: bacterial SSU rRNA
Rfam family: Archaeal small subunit ribosomal RNA
Source: RNAcentral